GUGCUCGCCUCAGCAGCACAUCUACUAAAAUUGGAAUGAUAGAAGAUUACUGUGGCCCCUGAACAAGGAUGACAGCCAAAUUCGUGAAGCAUUCCAUUUUUUU
Small nuclear RNA from Nannospalax galili (Upper Galilee mountains blind mole rat), 103 nucleotides. Lineage: Eukaryota; Metazoa; Chordata; Mammalia; Rodentia; Spalacidae. The record is from Ensembl.